Hippocampus comes (tiger tail seahorse) is the source of this 182-nucleotide small nucleolar RNA. Lineage: Eukaryota; Metazoa; Chordata; Actinopteri; Syngnathiformes; Syngnathidae. The record is from Ensembl.
GGGAGACGGUGUGCAUGGUGUCCCUCCGUGUCAUGUGCUGUUGCUGGGCUGUGUUUUGCAGGCUGUGCAUCAGGACUCACUCCACACCCUGCAGCCAUAGAACACACGGAGAUCAUAGUACUGGCCUUUGUUGUCGAUAAUGACACAUUACCAAUGGCCGGCCUCCAAACUCUCCGACAUAC